CAGUCGCCGCGGUAAUACAGAGGGUGCGAGCGUUAAUCGGAAUUACUGGGCGUAAAGCGCGCGUAGACGGUUUGGUAAGUCAGAUGUGAAAUCCCUGGGCUCAACCUGGGAACUGCAUUUGAUACUGCCUGGCUAGAGUAUCGAAGAGGGAAGUGGAAUUUCCGGUGUAGCGGUGAAAUGCGUAGAUAUCGGAAGGAACACCAGUGGCGAAAGCGACUUCCUGGUCGAAUACUGACGUUCAUGUGCGAAAGCGUGGGGAGCAAACAGGAUUAGAUACCCGCGUAGUCCCUGUCUCUUAUAC
RNAcentral lists this ribosomal RNA (301 nucleotides) under uncultured bacterium. Its description in RNAcentral is "partial 16S ribosomal RNA". It matches the Rfam family "Bacterial small subunit ribosomal RNA", at positions 509 to 807 of the family's 1533-position model. The record is from RNAcentral.